GGGGAAUAUUGCACAAUGGGCGCAAGCCUGAUCCAGCCAUGCCGCGUGAGUGAUGAAGGCCCUAGGGUUGUAAAGCUCUUUCAACGGUGAAGAUAAUGACGGUAACCGUAGAAGAAGCCCCGGCUAACUUCGUGCCAGCAGCCGCGGUAAUACGAAGGGGGCUAGCGUUGUUCGGAUUUACUGGGCGUAAAGCGCGCGUAGGCGGAUUGGUCAGUUAGGGGUGAAAUCCCAGGGCUCAACCCUGGAACUGCCCUUAAUACUGCCGGUCUUGAGUAUGGUAGAGGUGAGUGGAAUUCCGAGUGUAGAGGUGAAAUUCGUAGAUAUUCGGAGGAACACCAGUGGCGAAGGCGGCUCACUGGACCAUGACUGACGCUGAGGUGCGAAAGCGUGGGGAGCAAAC
This 400-nucleotide ribosomal RNA is filed under the name uncultured bacterium. RNAcentral's name for it is "bacterial SSU rRNA". It matches the Rfam family "Bacterial small subunit ribosomal RNA", at positions 356 to 773 of the family's 1533-position model. The record is from RNAcentral.